AGCCAUCCACCCCUUCAUUAACCUAAAAACCCUUCUUCUUCACCCCAAAAAUCAAGCAGCCACUCCUAAACCCUAGAGAGACCAUCUCCAGUUGUCAACCCCUCUCCAUUCCACAUCUGCCGCCACCGACCACUUCAAGCCCGCCGGAAAUCGACCACCACACUCUCACCCCUAAGCUUCUGUCGCACCACCCCUACCCUUUUACCCUUCUGCCACCCUUACCACCAAGACUCACCGGAAAUCCGGCGACAACCUUCGAGCAACACCCCGAAAAUCCAACCACACAUAUACACACAGUCGAAAAAUAAAAAAAUAAAAAAAAUAGAAAAACAGAAAAAGAGAGAGACAGACAUGGGAGGGGAAUCGGUAGUUUUACACAGGGAUUAGGAGAUUAAGAAUUCAAUUGAGAGGGUGGAGAACAAAGAGCAAAGAAACACCACUCUUCUUUUACAUUCAACAUCAAAUAUAUAGAUCUAGCAAUCUUACUCAUCAAGACCAUGUAAACUCCACUUGAGAACCACUAUCCUUAAACCAAAUCCUCCAUUACACCAAUGUUAAAGCUUAGAAACAGCCACAAUUCCCCACCCAGGCCCAUCUAUCUUUAGCCACAACACACGCACACAUAGAAAAGAGGAGAAUAGCACAAAAAGAAGGGAGGGAAACAAAAAAUCAGCGAUACCUCCGACUUCCACAAGAACCUCACAUAUGAAGCUCUUGAUUUCCAUCUCCUAACAUGUAAAAAAAAUUGAGCCGUUACUCCAUUUUCCAUUUCUAAUGGAUUUCAUUUUUGUACUUGUUUUCUUUCCUCCUAUCUAUUUUCCCCAAUAAUCUAUUACAGGCCUCUCUUUCCUUUCAUUCAAUUUUCUUAGAAAUCCCAAAUGUGUUCCUGCAUUUCUCUCUUUAUCGUGUUUUUUGGCCUUAGCUUCUGGAAUUAUUAAGCAACAAGGAAGUUCUCCUUAUAAAUGAGAGAACGGAGAUGACGUGGACAGAGCUAAGGGGAAAGAUAAAGCACUAUCCUUCUCACCAUAAGCACCAGCUGAAAACAACUUCAAACUAGCAUAAAAAUCCAAUUCAAAUCAGCCCCGUCGUAACCCCAAAAUUGCAUAAAAUUUCAAUUCCGAUCAGUUCUUUGAGCUUCAGUGUUCUCUGGGUCGAGUAGAGUUCGAUUUCAUCGGCGAUAGUUGAGUUUCUCUGGCAAGUUCGGUCAGCCUGUCACCUGCCGAGGUUCUGGUCGCGAUCUUGUUGCUGUGACUUUCAAAACAGUCCAAGCAUUUGAAUUUCAAAUUCAAUGAAAAGGUCCACACUCUUACUCUCUCCCUUUAGUUACAUUUUAAUUUGAAUGUGUUUAUUUGAUAAAAUUAUUGAAUGAAUUGAUUUGGUGCAAAGCUUUAUUUGUUUAGAUUUUAAUUUUUUUCUUAUCUUGAUACUCAUUUGAGGGAAAUAGGAAUACUCAUUUCUGGACACUUUUGUUUUGAUAUGUUUGUGUAUACUGUUCAUGACCAAGAGCAUGCAAAAUAUGAUUAAGUUGGUGCGUUUUUGCUCUGAAUCUAUUAGCGUUGCGUAUAGUUGUUUCCUUUUUUUUCCUAUUCUUUUGGAAGAUAUAAUGGAAGAAAAAAGUAUGGACCCGGAUUGGAGUAUCGUACAGAAAGUUAGACCUUAGAUAAUUUUUCUUGUUGUCAUUUUAUUUUGUUUAGUUGGUCGCUAGGAGCAUGCUAGGCCGAUAAUAUAUUGGUAGGCAAACCUUAGGAUUCUUAUAUUUUUGUUUUUGAGGCGAAAGUUUGUCCCCAUUUGUUUAUUAUUUUAUUAGGGUGAUGCUCACAAAGUUUGUAAAUAUUAUUUUUCGAGGAAUACCCCGAAGUAUCAUGUAAUUGGAGGCCUUGACAAAUAUCGUGGAGGAAGCAUAGUAUAGGUUAAUGUAGGAUUUUUAACAUAUUAUUUUUUCUUUCUUCUCUUUUCUUUUCUUUUUUUUAUAUUUAGGUGGGGACGACCUCGAGCUUCUUUUGUGUUUGUUUUCUUUUUGUGUGUUUUUUUACCUUAAUUCGAGUACCUAUAAAAAUCGACUUGAUCAUGUACGCAACCGUACUAGUUACGGGACUCGGGGAAUACCUAACACCUUCUCCCCAAGUCAAAUGAACUCCCUUAUCUAGAACUCUGGUGCAAACUGGUUUAAGAGUCAAAUGUGCUUUGAAGGAAAAUUAUUAUUUUUAAAAUAGUGACCUGGAACACCGAACCCAAUGUCAGGUGGCAACUCUGAAAAUCCUUCGAAACACAAUCCUUUUGUCACUUUUCAUAAUUGAAAACCCUUUUGAGCUUCAAGAAUCUUUUAUUAUUAAUUUUAAAAGGGCUAAUGAGGUGAAAAAGGGGUAUGACAGCUCUGGCGACUCUACUGGGGAGUUGCAGUUUCGAGCCGAUACUUGAUCUUGUUGGCUUUUAGAAUAUACGAUUGAGGUGUUUGUUUUCUUUAUUUGCUUUUUUAAUUUAGUUUAUUUGUCUUAUUUCAUGUUUUGUUGGUUAUUUGUUUAUCAUUUUUCCUUAUGUGUUUACCGCUUUAUAACUGUCGUCAUUUGCAUAACCAUGGGUCUUCUUUCUGCAACAAGUCUCGUAGUAUGCAUCGCAUACACGAACUCUUUGUUGAGUCACCCUUAUUUUAGGAGAGGGGCCGUCGGACGUAUGGAGUGGGUGGAAAGCUUGAGCAGACCAUCGACCAUAUGCUCCCCCGAAUUGCCUUGUUAGUGAACCCUAAACGUAGGUCAGCCUUUAGGUCAUUUUUAUUUGCAUCAUAUCAUUAUGACUUAGUAGGGCUCGGUCCUAGGUACCGUGUUCCUUCGUAAGAAGCCUGUCCAAAUUGUGUCAAGUGAGCCCAUGGCCCAAAUGGAUAUUCAAUCAUCCAUAUGUGAUACAUGUUACGUCUUUGAGGGUAGAAACAUCAUAUGGCGGACUGAUGUUUGGGAAGAGGGUGAAGUUAAAAAAUGAAGCAAGUAGGGCCUAGUUAUGUUUUUCUUUCACAACAUUUUCCAGAAAAAGACCAAAUAAGUGAAAAUAAAAAAUACAAAAAGAUUAUGCACUUUUUCAUCAUUUUCUCAAAAAAAAUCAAUCAAGAAAAAGAGAGAAAAAAAUCCAAAAAGAUUCUACAUGUUUCAUCAUUUUUCCAAAAAAAAAAGACACAAAAUAUGUUUUCUUCAAAUCUAUGUUUUUCUUAAAUUCUCUCCCGUAUCCAAUCUUCCCAAACUACGCAUACUUGAUUCUCAUCUUUCGGGGUGGGAUACAUAGGCAGCCUAUAUAGAGUCCGGGUCUAGUGAGUCUUAAGUUCUUGGCUUUGAGGGUCGUAGCCAAAUUUUGUAUGUCUAGCCACUUUGGCCACAUCGGUCGUUUUGUAAAAUAGGGCUAUUUUCGCAAAGUGGUUUGUUUAAUUGUGUUUGGAGAAUCUUGAAUCCACAAUUAGGUGUCACUUUACUUUAAUGUUCGUCCUUGUCAAAUUUGCAUGUCUAGCCGUUUUUGGCCACAUCGACAGUUCUUGCAAAAUGGGAUCAUUUUCGUAAAAGUGGUUCAGUGACCCAUGUCUUAGAGUCCUAAGUCCAUAACAAGGUGUCCUCUCUGUUUAAGGUCCAUUUUGUUAUAUUCUCACUUCUAGCCAAUUUUUUGGCCACAUAGGCCAUUUCUUCAAAAUGGAUCAUUUCUGCAAAGUAACUUUUUCAUGUCUUAGGUCACCUUUGUUGAGUUUGCACUUCUAGUCAUAUUUUGGCCACGUAGGUUAUUUUGCAAAAAUAGCUUUAAUCAUGCCUUGCAUGUGUCCAAUAGAAGGUGGUGUGGUGUCGCAUAGUGUCUUGAGUCACUAAUCUAUUUGUGUCACGACCCUAACCCGGACCCGGUCGUGAUGGCGCCCCUCGUGAAGACAAGGCCAACCGACACUUCCCGUUUUCCAAUUAUUAAUAGUUAAGCAUUUAAGAAACGGUCUAAAUAGGAUAGAAUAAAUCUGAAUUAACAAUGAUAACAUAAAUACGCGGAAGAACACCCAUACACAGCCCUAAUGGGGAUGUCACUAGUCAUGAGCAUCUAUAAGUCACAAUACAAUUCUGCUAAAUCCAUAACUAGUACAACUGUUUGAAAGGAAAUAGAAGCAAUAAAGGAGUAGAGACACAGGGCUGCGGACAUCAACAGCUACCUCGCAAUCUCCGAAGGCCGCCUGAAGCUGGAGGAAUCAGCACUUGGGAGCGGAACCAGCUACGCCCGAAUCUGCAUACAGGGUGCAGGGAGUAAAGUGAGUACUCCAACUUAGUGAGUAACAAAUGUAAAUAACGACUGAAAGUAAGAAAAUACAUAAGGCACAAUGCAUUCUAUAAUGAAGCACUAAAACCAUUUAAAAGCAGUAAAACAGUGGAAAGUCAAGUAAAAUCCUUUUUCAACAAGUAAACAAGUAAUUGACAGUAAUUAAGGUAAAGUAAACAAAUAGAAGUUCGCCCCUCGGGCACAGUAUCACCACAUCUGCCCCUCGGGCAACAUCUCAGUACAAUAACAGCCCCUCGGGCUCAAUCUCACAUCAUAAUGGGUACCCGCGCUCACUAGGCAUGUGCAAACUUCUGGAGGGGCCCCUUACGGCCCAAGCGCAAUAACAAGUCAUCUCAUGGCAUCAAAACUAGGCCCUCGGCCUCAUAUCAAUCAAGCCACCUCGUGGCAUACAUAUCUCAGGCCCUUGGCCUCAUAAUCAGCAUCAAAUCCUCACAACAUAGGCCAUCGGCCUUACUCAGUCAAAAAUCUUCACAAGCCCCUCGGGAAAUAGUAAAAUAGUGUUUCUCAGCCCAAACAUCAUUUAAAAUAUCAUGUAAGUCUUAAAACAGGUAAACAUGGCUGAGUAUGAAAACAGUGGAAAAUAACAUGACUGAGUUCAAGUAUAAAGACAAAUAGUGAGGAAAUAUCAAUAAAAAGCCCUGAAUGGUUCCAAUUGUUGGCACUAGGCCCAAAUAUGGCAUUCGGCCCAAAUAAUAAUGAUAGCAAAUAGUUUUCAAUCAAAUACGAGGUAAAAUCAUCAAUCAGGACGGACCAAGUCACAAUCCCCAAUAGUGCACGACCCUACACUCGUCAUCGAGCAUGUGCCUCACCUCAAUAUAGCAUUACGAUAUGCAAAUCUAGGGUUUCAGACCCUCAAAACAUCAUUUACAAUCAUUACUCACCUCGAACUGGCUAAAACUCUAGCUCGCGAUGCCUUUGCUCCUCGAGUCGGCCUCUACGCGCGUCGAAUCUAUCCAAAAUCAGAACGAGGACGUCAAAAUAUGCUAAGGGAAUGAAGUCCAAGCGAAAACAAUCAAUAAAGGGCACAAAUCCAGAAAUUACCAAAACCCGACCCCCGGGCCCACGUCUUGGAAUUCGAUAAUUUUUACAUCGAUAGGUUCCUUAUCUCCCCACGAGUUCAUACAUAUCAAAAGUUCUCAAAUCCGACCCCAAAUGGUCCUUCAAAUCCACAAUUAAAGGCCUAAGUUUCCAACCCCUAGUUUCCCCAUUUUAACCUUUGAUUUCCAUAAUUUCUAGCUCUAAUUCAUGAAAUAAUAGCAUAGGAACGAGUUUUAGGUCCAAAUUCCUUACCUCAAUGAAGUUCUCUUGAAAUCCCUCUCUCAAAUCGCCCAAAAAGCUCCCAAGCUAAAGUCAAAAAUGGUGAAAUAUCUCAAAUUCACGAAAUGAAAUAACUUAUAUAUUCUGUCAGGCCUUUCCGCAUCUGCAGUACCGCAUUUGCGGUUAAAUCCUCCGCUUCUGCGGAAUUCACUUAAGAGCCCAAAAUCGCUUCUGCGAUAAGGUAUCCGAUUGACCUGAAUAUUUUGCAUACAUACCCCAAAUGACACAACGGAACUACUGCAACUCUCGGAAUUCCAUUCCGACCCCUAUAUUAAAAUCUCGCCUAUCAAUCGGAAAUUGCCAAAAAUAUCAACUUCGCCAAUUCAAGCCUAAAUCUACUACUAACCUCUAAAAUUUAUUCUGAUCACACUCCUAAGCCACAAAUCACCUCCCGAAGCUAGCCAAACCACCGGAACUCACAUCCGAGCCCUCUAUCAUAUAAUUUAAUAUUCGAUUGACUUUUUCAACUUAAACUUACUCUAAAGAGACUAAGUGUCUCAAACCUUGCCAAAUCCUUUCCGGAUUCGAUCCGGCCAACCCGAUCACAUAUAGACCCGAUAGAUAAAGCAAUAAGAAGCAGAGAUAGGGAAAACAUAGUAGUAACUCAUGAGAUGACUGGCCGGGUCGUCACAAUUUGGUCGCAUUUUUCUUAUUGAGGUAUGGAUCAGUGUACUAGAUCUCGAGCAUGACAGAUACACCAGGACCAUCGCAUUUGAGAGCUUGUUUGAAGAGACUUUUUAUAUUUUGAGUCUACUUUCAUGUUUUCUUUUAUUUUCUUGUCUUGUCUAGUAGUUUUGAGUAUUUUAGGUGGUGUAAGAGUUUGUCGAGUCUUUUGUCAUCGUACUUCCCGUUUAUAUUUGGAAAACAAAUGGUUAUAAAUGAAAAAAUCCAAAAUGAUUCUUGUUUUUUUAAGUUAUUUUGUCCAUUACUUUUUCAUAACUACGCUUGGUUUGAUUCAUGUACAACAUGAUACGUAGGCAACCUACAUAGGGUUCGAUCGAAUCAUUAUUAAAAAAAGGAAAAAAAAGGAAAAAAAGAGAUUGAAGUAGUGGGACGUGAGGGGUGAGAGAAAGAAAAUAGUGAUAAUUAGAAAGAAAAGAGAGGAAGGAAAAUGAGCAAGCCAAGAAGUGCUAGAAAAAAAAGAGAAGAUUGAAAUGAACAAAAUUGGCAUGAUGCCAAAUGACCUUGUCACCCUCGAAGUCAUUCUAGAAUCGUUAGUUGUUGCUAGGUGCAAUGCACGCAAUGUGAUAUUUCUAUCUGAUAAAUGCCCUAACGCUAACAUGUUGACUUUGUGUUGCUCCUCUUUGGUACUUUAAUUGUUAUCAUAAAAGAAGUUGGUUAGUUUGUGGCAUUCUGGCGAGUCAUCCGUUCAACACAAGGUCAAAGAGCAAGCUAGCCAUGGCUAGCAAAGACUUGGACAUAGGUGUUGUCGACCCGCCUAAGGAGAUUGUUGAAUCGGAAUCUGAGUUGAAUGAUAAGGUCCUAAGGUUGAAAGGAUAGAUGGCCAAAAUGUACCAUGCCUGGAUUAGUGGAUAUCCUCCACCAUUAUUUCCCACUAACUACAAUGAAAGCCUCAUCACCAUUUCGCCACUGUCACAAAUCCAGAUUCCCACUGCUGUUAAUAUCUCCCUAUAACUUUUUCACACUCCACCCUCCAGAACCACCUCAUAUCGCGCUCCUUUGACCACUGAUGUUUUUAUAGCUCCUCCACCAGCUAUUCUUCCUCGAUCCCCUAGCGAGACUAUGUUCAAUGUCCCCGAUGCCCAACACUAUGCUCCAGAACCAAUCUUCAAGGUCUCGUAUCUAUACUCUUAUGAUCCUCAUUUUGAGCCUCUCGGUGAAACUGCAAAGCCUGCUAAGAAAGAAGAGCGAUAUGAGAUAUCCAUAAAGUCGAAAGGAUAGAACAAUCCUUAAAGAACAUGCACGGAGUGGGAAAUAACAUGUCUUACAACGACUUAUGUAUGUUUCUAGAUAUUCAUCUGUCUGCGGGAUUUAAAAUGCCAAAGCUUAACUUAUAUGAUAGCCGUGGAGAUCCAGUAGCCCAUCUGAGGGGUUAUUGUAGUGAAAUGAGAAGUGUUUGCGGGAAAGAUGAAUUGUUGAUGGCGUAUUUCAGUGAGAGUCUGCGUAGGGAAGCCUUGGAGUUGUAUACUCGUCAAGAUGUCAGUAAGUGGCAUGCAUGGGGUAACACGGCUCAAGAUUUUGUUCGGAACUAUUAGCACAAUGUAGACAUUAUCCCAGACCGCUCCUCCCUAUGUCUGAUGGAAAAGAAACCUAAGGAAAGUUUUAGGGAGUUUUGGUUCAGAUGAAACGAACAAGUUGCUCGAGUCAAUUCUCCGAUUGAUAGAAAAGAUGUUGUUGAGCCCUGCCAACGAUAGGAUCCAGUGGGCAUUCCUGCUAAAUGUUUUCAGCCUCAACACCGACCCUAUGAAUAUCCUCGUACUCCAGAUAAUCAUCACCAAUGCUACUUUCCUCAAGAAAAUCCCCAAAGGCAUACCUCACCUUCCCAGUACUCUAUCCACAAUGCACCGCCAUAUGCUCAACACCUAUGAAACCUGCAACGGCUUGCACCGCCUCCACAAAUGUCUUAUCCACCUCUACAAGCAUAACAACCACCUACCCAAAAGAGGUUCCAACCAAGGACAGAGUACAAAAUGAGAAAGCAGUAGCAAAGAGAAAAGUCUUUCACUCCUAUUGGAGAAUCAUAUGCCAGUCUAUUCCAAAGGCUGAGGUAACUGGACAUGGUGAAGCUGAUUCAGAUAAAAAUGCAGAACCCCUUCUCCAAGAAUUUUGAUUUUUCUCAAAGGUGUGCAUAUUGCUCUAAUGCCCCAUGGCACGUCAUAGAAAAGUGUUGGCAUUUGAAAAGAGCAAUCCAGAAGCUUAUUGAUGCAGGUGACAUUACCGUGCAAAAUCCAAAUGCAGCAAAUACUAGCCAAAGUCCAUUGCAUCUUCAUAAUGAGACGCAUAUGGUGGGGAUGAUUUGUGUGGAAAAGGAUAUGAGAACUCUUCUGAAUCCCUUGGAGGGCCACUUAACGCAAAGUUUUUAGUGCUAUCAGUCUCGGUUUCAGAGGUUGACCUUAAGAACGAGUUGGAAAAAGGGACCCAAGCUAUUUGCUAAGGUCAACAUGAUGGAGAUUUGUGGAGGUUUUGGUAAUAUUGAUGCGGAACUCAGUGGCUAAAAUGUCGAGCUUGGUAAUUGGAAAGACACUCCUUUCUUGGCUAGCCAGGGAGGAGUUUUGGUGGAUUAUUUUGUUAUUAUUUCUAUUGUCCGGGUUAUUUCAUGGUUGUAUCCGGAUAUUGUCUUGUAGCUCAAACCCUUCUUCUUCUUAUUUUUCCUAGUUCGUUUAGUUGUAGUAACUCUUUUAGUGUUAUCUAGGUUUAUUCCAGGGUUGUAACCCCAGUUUAUUUUGCUUGUUUUGUUGUUCAAACGUUUUCACUAUAUGUCUAAUGCAAUCGUAUGUUUUCUGUUAUUUCUAGUCAGUUUUUGUUUAGUUCUCUUUUCCUUUUAUAGUUAUUUUCAUGCUGACUCUGGUGACAUGACAUACACGCAUAACUCUUAGCCUGGUCUUGAAAGUUAGUCUAAUCAUGAAACAAUGAAAUAAGGUUUGAAGAUAACAUGGACAUUUGAGGGAAAUAAGUAAAGAUUUGGACAUUAUGAGAUCAUUUAAAGCCUGAAUUGAGUGAAACUCAAGUAGUUAGUAUGAGAAAUCAAGAGGUUGAUGCGGGCAUACAACAAGGGAAUGUCUCUCAAGUAGCUUGAGGUAGAUCAAUCAGUGCUAAAAUGCAUUCUUCUAUACCGAGAUAAGGUUGAGUCAAGUCUGCUUUGAACUCAUAAGGGUCAUUCAUUGGGACAAAGGUAUUGCCCAUUCGCACUUUUCUUUGUGUUGAUGCCAUAAAUAGAUACUAUGUACAAUCUCUUUGCUUAUCUUCAAUUGCAUGUUUGUACUUCGCAUUUUUAAAGUUUGGUAUGAUGAAAGCAUUUUAUUCCUCUACUCAAACACUUUAAUCUUUUGCUACCCCUUUCGAACCCUAAUUUGUUUUGUUUCAUACCCCCUCUUUUGGAAUCAGAAGUAGAGUUAGGAGCUAAAAAGAAAAAGAAAAAGAGAAAAAGAAAAAAAAAGAGAAAAAGAAAAGAAAAGGAGAAAAGUAAAGAAAGGAAAAAGAAAGAAAAGGAAAGAAAAACAACAAAAUAAACAAACUUUAUGUUGGAACUACGUUCGACAUGAUUCCUUGUAAGGAUAUAUAGGCAGCCUUACUUUGAGGUUCGGUCCCAUCAAAGCAAAAAUCCAAAAAAAAAAUCCCCACACUCCAAGAAGUUGGGGCAGAAGUUUUUAUUUGGCCAAAAGAUAUGAUUCCAAAAGUUGUAAUUUUGAACUCUUUCAUCUUAAAUUAUUUUGAGCCUUCAUGCCACCCUUUCUUUCCAACCCUAUCCGAAAGCCUACAUUACGGUCUAAAGAAAGACCUUCCAACGAAUCUUUGAGGAUGCCAAAUAAAGUGUGUGGUAAAAGUAUGAUCUUCUUGUAUCAUGGGUAAUACCUUGUUCUCAGCACAAAGAGAGAAAAUGAUAAAAUGAGAGAGUCUUAUCGGUGAAAACCCUCAUGAGCACCGUAAGGCGACGGUAAGUUUAGAAAAAGAGCAAAAUGAGAGAGGCUUGAUGGUAAAAACCCUUCAGGGCACUACAAGUCGACUGAGGAUUGUGGAUCAAAUAGGACAAUUGGAGCGUUGAAGCCCAGUUUCACAACUUAGAGGCAUAACAAGAGUUGAAGAUUGGACUCGCUUGACAGAUCAGGCCGCUUAAUCCAACAUGCAUGUCAUGGUCAGUGGAGAUGGCCUUCAAAUAAGAUAAGUUUAUACUUUGUUCUUUUUCUUGGGUAAAAACUUUUUCUUGUUAGAUACCAUCUCUUCUCAAUUUUCUCCUUAAUUUGUUCCUCUUGUUUUGUUUGAGUCCCUUUUGAGUUUGGUUUUUGUCAAAACGAGUGAGAAAUGACUUCAAAAUCUGCUACCAGCUUUUUAAUCACACAAAGUCGAGUCUGGCAAGCACAUCAAAAUGGCAUAAGACACAGGAGAAUAGAGUGUGCACUGAGUUGGUGAUAAUAGAUGUUGGAUUGAUUUAAAAUGCAACGAUUUGGUGAAUGUUAGAAUACGAGUGCAAUGCAUCAAGCAUAAGGUAUUGGAUUUGAACGAAUCAGGAAUAUUUCUUGUGAUGAGGGUUUUCCGAAAAGCGAUCGGUCGAUAACAAGCACUAUCUUCCUAGUUGAAGUCUAAGUUGUUAAUGACAAGUUCAAGAGAAAUCUCCCUUGUAAUCAAGGCCACAAACUAACCACCAUGUUUUAAACUCACAAGUUUUCUUUGUCUGAAACAGGGAUGAAGGCUAUGUUCAUAUAAAAGCUUGAAUUUUUUAGGUGUAAUGCCCCAAUUCUGCUGACGCAAAGCCUAUUGAGAAGAUCACACAUCACCCCUAGGAGACGCACUUCCUAGUUUUGGUCAUUCAAAUUCAUCCCUAGGAGACGUACGUCCUAGUUGGAGUCAUUGAAGUUUUAUCUAUUAGGAGAUACACUUCCUAGUAGGGGUAUUUCAGAUUAUACUUUUAGGAGACACACUUCCUAGCUUUGGUCAUUUAAAUUCAUUCCUAGGAGAUGCACUUCCUAGUUUGAGUCAUUGAAGUUUCGCCCGUAGGAGACGCACUUCCUAGUCUAAGACUUUCGGGUUAUAUUUUAUUUUAGGAGACGCACUUUCUAAAUUGAGAUUUUACCCCUAGGAGACGCACUUCCUAGUUUGGGUCAUUUAAGUUCAUUCCUAUAAGACGCACUUCCUAGUUUGAGUCAUUGAAGUUUCACCCGUAGGAGACGCACUUCCUAAUUCGGGUUUUCAAGUUAUAUUUUUGUUUUAGGAGACGCACUUCCUAAAUUGAGAUUAAACCCCUAGGAGAUGCACUUCCUAGUUUGAUUCAUUCAAGUUUUAUCCCUAGGAGACGCACUUCCUAGUUUGGUUCAUUCAAGUUUUAUCCCUAGGAGAUGCAUUUGCUAGUUUAAGUCAAUCGAGUUUUACCCCUAGGAGACGCACUUCCUAGUCAGGGUCUUUCAAGUUACAUUUUUGUUUUAGGAGACGCACUUUCUAAAUUGAGAUUUUACCCCUAGGAGACGCACUUCAUAGUUUGGGUCAUUUAAGUUCGUUCCUAAGAGACGCACUUCCUANNNNNNNNNNNNNNNNNNNNNNNNNNNNNNNNNNNNNNNNNNNNNNNNNNNNNNNNNNNNNNNNNNNNNNNNNNNNNNNNNNNNNNNNNNNNNNNNNNNNNNNNNNNNNNNNNNNNNNNNNNNNNNNNNNNNNNNNNNNNNNNNNNNNNNNNNNNNNNNNNNNNNNNNNNNNNNNNNNNNNNNNNNNNNNNNNNNNNNNNNNNNNNNNNNNNNNNNNNNNNNNNNNNNNNNNNNNNNNNNNNNNNNNNNNNNNNNNNNNNNNNNNNNNNNNNNNNNNNNNNNNNNNNNNNNNNNNNNNNNNNNNNNNNNNNNNNNNNNNNNNNNNNNNNNNNNNNNNNNNNNNNNNNNNNNNNNNNNNNNNNNNNNNNNNNNNNNNNNNNNNNNNNNNNNNNNNNNNNNNNNNNNNNNNNNNNNNNNNNNNNNNNNNNNNNNNNNNNNNNNNNNNNNNNNNNNNNNNNNNNNNNNNNNNNNNNNNNNNNNNNNNNNNNNNNNNNNNNNNNNNNNNNNNNNNNNNNNNNNNNNNNNNNNNNNNNNNNNNNNNNNNNNNNNNNNNNNNNNNNNNNNNNNNNNNNNNNNNNNNNNNNNNNNNNNNNNNNNNNNUUUCAUUGAAGUUUCACCCCUAGGAGACGUACUUCCUAGUUUGAGUCAUUCAAGUUUUACCCCUAGGAGACGCACUUCCUAGUUUGGUUCAUUCAAGUUUCAUCCCUAGGAGAUGCACUUCCUAGAUUGAGUCACUUGAGUUUUAUCCUUAGUAAAUGCACUUCCUAGUUUGUUUCAUUCAAGUUUCAUCUCUAGGAGAUGCACUUCCUAGUUUGAGUUAUUUGAGUUCAUCCCUAGGAGACACACAUCCUAGUCGAGUCUUUAGUUUUGCUUUCAUUAUUGCAUCAAUAGCAUAGAUGAUUUAUAGUUUUUCUAACACUCACAAAUCUUCCUAGCGCAAACUAGGGCAGAAAAUUUUAUUUGUUUUGUUGUUUUGAUUGCAAGUGCCCACCUAAAGAACUAGGAAAGUCAUUUCAGAAUUCAAUUCAAGUUAGAAAUAGCAGUAGAUCGCCUCAAGAAUGCGAGUCGACAGUCCGAGAUGACCAAAAGAAGAAGUUUCAAUCCAGAAAAAAAAAAAAAAAAAGAAGUAAAUCCAAAUACAGAAGCAGAGGAAAGAUGUGAACUGCUAAGGACAUGGUUGAAGUUACGAGCACUGCAUGUCCGGUCUUGAUAUGAAGAAGUCGUGGAAGAAUGAACCAGUAUCUGCAGCUAGCAAGCAUCAAGGUUCAAAUCAAAAGUCUGCAUGAAGAACCAUUCAAGAUUUAAUAUCAAGCUUCAGUAGACUUAUAGAUAGGAAUCUUGUAACUCAUAGCUGAUAUGCUUGCUUAGUUCUUUUAGAUUUUGAUUUGAUGUAAUAACAGGACCGUGAACCGGAACCUCAACGGCACCUCAAUUGGCUCUCCACCUCGGUAAACUCUGUCACUCUUCCUACUUCUGAACUACACGUGAUCUGAUUCUCUUAUAACCCGGAUAUGUAGGCUGUCCAAAACCAGGACUCGGUCAUAUUUUCCUUUCUUCUAGUUCUCCUCUUUUAAAUAAAGGUCGGGCCAAAACAUGUCUUGUCGUUCUUUGUCUGAAAAAUCUUCGUAUUUUCAGUCAAAGAGGAGCAGCUGUAGACAUGUAAUUUUGGCCCUCCCCGAGAUUUUAUACAUUUUAGCAUUAAAAUAUUUAGUUUAGGUCUAAUAUCGCUAUUUUAACUAGUUUUGACUCGUUGACUUUAUUUUAUCACAAAAUAAAAAUUACAAAAAUAUUUUCUUUUAUUUAGCUAAUUGAUAUUUUAUCUAGUUACUUUUAGUUUAUCUACCUUUUAUAAAAUUAAAAAAAAUACAAAAAUAGUUUCUCUUUGUUUUUAAAAAUAUUAGUAUUUUUUAUAGGAAUAUUAUUUUAAUUUUGCGAUGAUUAUAAUCUAAUCCCAUUUUUAUUUUUUAGUAUGAUAUUUGAAAAAUACCAAAAAUAGAUUUGUUUUAACGAUUAGUUUUAUUUUAAUAAUUAUUUCUACUUAAGUAGGAUUAAUUAGUAUAUGUGGGUAGUAUUUUUAGUCUUGUCCAAUGAGAAAGAAUCAAAUUUGGGCUAGAACAAUCCAUUUUUUAGGCCCAUUUUUGGAAAUUAAGCCCUUAGCCCAUACCCUCACUUCCCUAAAAAGAGACCUAAUUCCACUAACCAUAAGAACCCUGAGAGCCAUCAACCUUCCACCCCCUUCAUUAACCUAAAAACCCCUUCUUCUUCACCCCUAAAAUCAAGAAGCCACCCUUGAACCCUAGAGAGACCAUCUCCAGUCGCCAACCCCUCUCCAUUCCACAUCUUCCGCCACCGACCACUUCAAGCCCGCCAGAAAUCGACCACCACACUCUUACCCAUAAGAUUCUGCCGCACCACCCCUACCCAUUUAGCCUUCUGCCACCCUCACCGCCAAGACUCACGGGAAAUCCGAUGACAACCUUCGAGCAACACCCCGAAAAUACAACCACACAUAUACACACAAUCGAAAAACAAAAAAAAGACGGACAUGGGAGGGGAAUCAGUAGUUUUACACAGGGAUUAGGAGAUUAAGAAUUCAAUUGAAGAGGGUGGAGAACAAAGAGCAAAGAAACACCACUCUUCUUUAUUUUCAACAUCAAAUAUAUAGAUCUAGCUAUCUUACUCAUCAAGACCAUGUCAACUCCACUUGAGAACCACUAGCCUUAAACCAAAUCCUCCAUUACACCGAGUAGAGUUCGAGUUCGUCGGCGAGAUUUGAGUUUCUCCGGCGAAGUUCGGUCAGCCCGUCGCCUGUCGAGGUUCUGGUCGUGAUCUUGUUGCUUGUGACUUUCAAAACAGUCUAAGCAUUUGAAUUUCAAAUUCAAUGAAAAGGUCCACACUCUUACUCUCUCCCUUUAGUUACGUUUUAAUUUGAAUGUGUUUAUUUGAUAAAUUAUUCAAUGAAUUGAUUUGGUGCAAGGUUUAUUUGUUUAGAUUUUAAUUUGUUUCUUAUUUUGAUACUCAUUUGAGGGAAAUAGGAAUACUCAUUUCUAGACACUUUUGUUUUGAUAUGUUUGUGUAUAUUGUUCAUGACUAAGAGCAUGCAAAAUAUGAUUAAGUUGGUGUGUUUCUGCUCUGAAUCUAUUAGUGUUGCGUAUAGUUGUUUCCUUUUUUUCUCUAUUCUUUUGGAAGAUAUAAUGGAAGAGAAACGUAUGGACCCGUAUUGGAGUAUCGUACAGAAAGUUAGACCUUAGAUAAUUUUUCUUGUUGUCAUUUUAUUUUGUUUAAUUGGUACCUAGGGGCAUGCUAGGCCAAUAAUAUACUGGUAGGCAAACCUUAGGAUGCUUAUAUUUUUGUUUUUGAGGCAAAAGGUUGUCCCCAUUAGUUUAUUAUUUUAUUCGGGUGAUGCUCAUAAAGUUUGUAAAUAUUUUUCUUCGGAUAAUGCCCCGAAGUAUCAUGUAAUUGGAGGCCAUGAUGGAUAUCGUGGACGAAGCACAGUAUAGGUUAAUGUGGGAUUUUUAACAUUUUAUUUUUUCUUUCUUAUCUUUUAUAUUUAGGUGGGGACGACCUCAAGCCUCUUGUGUGUUUGUUUUCUUUGUGUGUUUUUUCACCUUAAUUCGAGUACCUAUAAAAAUUGACUUGAUGAUGUACGCAACCGUACUAGUUACGGGACUCGAGGAAUGCCUAACACCUUCUUCCCGAGUCAAAUAAACCCCCUUAUCUAGAACUCUAGUACAAACUGGUUUUAGAGUCAAAUGUGUUUUGAAGGGAAAUUAUUAUUUUAAAAAUAGUGACUUGGCACACUGAAACCAAUGUCAGGUGGAGACUCUGAAAAUCCUUCGAAACACAAUCUUUUUGUCACUUUUCAUAAUUGAAAACCCUUUUGAGCUUCAAGAAUCUUUUUUUUAUUAAUUUUAAAAGGGUUAAUGAGGUGAAAAAAAGGGUGUGACAGAGCUCAGCCUAGAGCUCGAGCAGCAGAACUAGUAGUGGAUCCUCAGGUAGAUUUUGAUGAGAAGGUUCCAGCUGAGACUGUACCUGUUAGACCAGCUCAUAUGUCGGAGGGUUACAUCGCCACUCCAGUGCUUUGGGAUGCUCUAGUCGGUUUGGUGGCCUUAUAGAGAGUAUGGCCUGGGCCGAUACAUUUUUGUCGCACCAGCCAUCUCUCAGGUUAGGGGAGGAGUACACACUCCCACUACUCACACUCCGGAGCAGAUGGCUCCUUAAUAUCAGACUCCAGCAACUCCGCUGGUUGGGGUAGUUUAGUCGGUUAUUGAGGCACAGGCAGAUGAUAGGCCUGCCAUGUCUUCUAAGGCUUUAUUAAGGUUGGAAAAGUUUACCAAGCUCUUUUCAGCUCACUUUAGUGAUGCACCUUCUGAGGACCCAUAGGAUUAUCUUGAUCGCUUCCAUGAGGUGUGACGAAACAUGGGUAUAGUUGAGACUAACGGGGUCGAUUUUGUUGUGUUUCAGAUGAUGGGUUUCGCUAAGAGGUGGUGGAGAGAUUAUAUGUUGACCAUACUAGUUGGGUCGCCUGCACUUACUUAGGAGUAGUUCUCACGGUUAUUUUUAGAGAAGUUUCUUCUUAUCACAUUGAGAGAGGAUUACCGCAGGUAGUUUGAGCAUCUCCAGCAAGGCAGGAUGACUGUUACUCAAUACGAGACCCGUUUUAUGGAUCUAGCCCGUCAUGUUCUUAUCUUGAUUCCUAAUGAAAGGGAUAGAGUGAGGAGAUUUAUUGGUGGACUUACUUACACUAUCAGGCUACAAAUGGCCAAGGAGACUAGGGGUGAGAUUUCCUUUCAGACGGCUGCAAAUGUUGUUAGGCAGAUCGAGAUAGUUCUUGCUAAGGAGAGGGGGUAGGUGGCAGACAAGAGGCCUUGACAUUCUAGUCUUUUCAUUGGUGCCUCAUCUGGAAGUAGGGGUACUUUUGGUAUGGGCCAUCCUCCCAGGCCAUUUCGAUCAGUGCUUCAGGUAUCUCACAAUGCUCAACGAUUCGUGGUCCUUAUGUGCCUUAUUUUGGGCAGCCAGCCUACAAUACACCAUCAGCUCCUAUCAGUAUGCCUCCAAUUUAGAGUUAUCAUCAUGGUUAUCUGGCCCGUUCGAGUCAGUCUCAGUUUCAGCAGCCACAGCAGUAGGAUAGAUGUUUUAAGUGUGGUAGUUUUGGGCAUAUCAGGAGGACUUGUCCAAAAUUAUUGUGCGGUAUGCCACAGUAGAGUUCUCGUGCCAUGAUUCCAGCACUGGUUGCUCUACUACCCGCUCAACCAGCUAGGGGCAGGGGUCAGGCAGCCAGAGGUGAGGGUCAGGCAGUUAGAGGUGAAGGUUAGGCCGUUAGAGGUGAAGGUUAGGCCGUUAGAGGUGGAGGCCAACCAGCUAGAGCUCGUCCUAGAUAUGUAGUUCAGAAUGGUGGGGCCUAGCCCUAAUUUUAUGAUUUCCCAACCAGGCCUGAGGUUGAGUCAUCUGAUGUUGUUAUCACACGUAUUGUUCCAGUUUGACAUAGAGAUGCUUCAGUUCUAUUUGAUUCGGGCUCUACUUAUUCCUAUGUGUCAUCCUAUUUUGCUUCAUAUUUGGUUGUACCUCGUGAUUCUUUGAGUGCUCUUGUGUAUGUGUCCACACUUUUAGGAGAUUCUAUUAUUGUAGAUCGUGUCUAUCAUUCGUGUGUGAUUACUAUUUGAAGUCUUGAGACUGGAAUAGAUCUUCUACUACUUGAUAUGGUAGAUUUUGAUGUCAUUUUGGGUAUGGAUUGUUGUCACCUUAUCAUGCUAUAUUAGAUUGUCACACCAAGAUAGUGACCUUAGCCUUGCUGGGGUUGCCUCGAUUAGAGUGGAUGGGGACUCAUGGCCAUUUUACCAGCAGGGUCAUCUCGUAUGUGAAGGCUUGACGUAUGGUCGAGAAAGAAUGUCUAACUUAUUUGGCUUAUGUCCGCGAUUCUAGUGCGGAGUUUCCUUCCAUGGAUUCAGUACCAGUUGUUUCCUACAGAUCUAUUAGGGAUGCCACCCGACAGAGAUAUUGUCUUUUAUAUUGAUUUGGCUUCGGGUACUCAGCCCAUUUCUAUUCCUCCAUACCGAAUGGCCCCACAGAGUUGAAAGAAUUGAAGAAGCAGUUGCAAGACUUGCUUGAUAAAGGCUUUAUUAGACCUAGUGUCUCACCUUGGGGUGUGCUCAUGUUGUUCAUGAAGAAGAAAGAUGGAUCGAUGAGGAUAUGUAUAGAUUAUCAGCAGUUGAAGAAUGUCACCAUCAAGAACAAGUAUUUGUUGUCGAGGAUUGAUGACUUAUUUUAUCAGCUUUAGAGUGCCAAGGUGUUUUUGAAGAUUGAUUUGAGGUCUGGCUACCAUCAGUUGAAGAUUAGGGCAUAUGAUGUCCCUAAGAUUGCCUUUCGGACUCGGUAUGGGCAUUAUGAGUUUUUGGUGAUGUCAGUUAGGUUGACAAAUGCCCCAAAAACAUUUAUGGAUUUCAUGAACUGGGUGUUCAAGCCCUACUUGGAUUCCUUCGUGAUUGUAUUUAUUGAUGAUAUCUUGAUCUACUUCCGCACUCAAGAGGAGCACGAGAAGCAUCUUCAGAUUGUUUUUUAGACUCUCAGAGAUAGUCCAAGUUUUCAAAGUGCGAGUUUUGGUUAAACUCAGUCGUCUUUUUAGGGCACAUCGUAUCAGCAUAGGACAUAAAGGUGGAUCCUAAAAAGAUUGAGGCAGUUCUGAACUGGCCUAGACCCACUUCAGCUAUAGAGAUCCGGAGUAGUCUGGGUUUGGUGGGUUAUUAUCGCCGGUUCGUGGAGGGAUUUUCAUCUAUAGCAGCCCCAUUGACCAGGUUGACCCAAAAGGGUGCCCCAUUUAGAUGGUCAAACGAGUGUGAGUUGAGCUUUCAGAAGCUCAAGACUGCUUUGACUACAGUGCCAAUAUUAGUGUUCCCCACAGGUUCAGGAUCUUACAUGAUGUAUUGUAAUGCAUCUCGUAUUGGGAUCGGUGCAGUAUUAUGGAGGAUGGCAGAGUGAUUGCCUAUGUUUGACGAUUGUUGAAGGUUAAUGAGAAGAAUUACCCUGUUCNNNNNNNNNNNNNNNNNNNNNNNNNNNNNNNNNNNNNNNNNNNNNNNNNNNNNNNNNNNNNNNNNNNNNNNNNNNNNNNNNNNNNNNNNNNNNNNNNNNNNNNNNNNNNNNNNNNNNNNNNNNNNNNNNNNNNNNNNNNNNNNNNNNNNNNNNNNNNNNNNNNNNNNNNNNNNNNNNNNNNNNNNNNNNNNNNNNNNNNNNNNNNNNNNNNNNNNNNNNNNNNNNNNNNNNNNNNNNNNNNNNNNNNNNNNNNNNNNNNNNNNNNNNNNNNNNNNNNNNNNNNNNNNNNNAGGUAUUCAAAGAUCAUCACAGUAUACAGUAUUUGUUCAAGCAAAAGGAUCUCAACUUGAGGUAGAGGAGAUGGUUGGAGUUGUUGAAAGAAUAUGAUAUCACCAUUUUGUAUCAAUCGGGUAAGGCCAAUGUGGUGGCUGAUGCCUUGAGUAGAAAGAUAGUGAGUAUGGGCAGUCUUGCGUACAUUCCAGUUGGUGAGAGACCCUUGCAGGAAAUGUUCAGGCUUUUGGCAAAUCAGUUCGUGAGGUUAGAUGUUUUAGAACCCAGUCUUGUUCUAUCUUGUACAGUCGCUCGGUCUUUCUUGUUUGAGCACAUCAAGGAGUGGCAAUAUGAUGACCCUUAUUUGAUUUUCCUUUGGGAUACGGUGCGGCACGAAGGCGCCAAACAUGUUACUGUUGGAGAUUAUGGGGUUUUGAGUAUGUAGGGUCGUAUUUGUGUGCCGAAGGUGGAUGGGCUUUGGGAGUUGAUUCUUGAGGAGGCCCACACGGUAUUCUAUUCAUCUGGAUGCCGCCAAGACGUAUCAGGACUUGCGACAGCAUUAUUGGUGGAGAAGGAUGAAGAAGGAUAUAGUUGCAUAUGUAGCUCGGUGUCUAAAUUGCCAGCAAGUAAAGUACGAGCAUCCAAGACCUAGUGGUUUGCUUCAAAAGUUAGAGAUUCCUAAGUGGAAGUGGCAGAGUAUCACUAUGGAUUUCAUUAUUGGACUCCUACGGACGAGGUAUGGGUCACUAUGGACAGGUUUACCAAGUCAGCACAUUUCAUACCUGUGGCAGUUACCUAUUCUCCAGAGUGGUUGGCUGAGAUCUACAUCCGCGAGAUCAUGCGUCUUCACGUUGUGCCCUUGUCUAUCAUUUUUGAUCAAGGUAUGCAGUUCACCUCGCAUUUCUGGAGGGUAGUACAAUGUCAGUUGGGCACGCAGAUUCAGUUGAGCACCGCAUUUCAUCCCCAAAUGAAGCUUGAAUUUGACCUUUGAGUAUUUGACCUCGGAUUGGAGUUUCGAUGGUUCCGAUAGGCUCGAGUGGUGAUCUUGGACUUAGGCGUGCAUCCGGAUUUGGAUUUGGAGGUUCGUAGGUUAAUUUGAAGCAUUUUGGCAAAAAUUAAAAAGUUGAAGGUUUGAAAGAUUUAAAGGUUUGAUUGAGAGUUGACUUUGGUUAUAUUGGGGUCAGAAUACAAUUCCGAGAGUUGGAAUAGCUUUGUUAUGACAUUUGGGACUUGCCUGCAAAAUUUGGUGUCAUUUGGAAUUAAUUUGAUAUGGUUUGGGCGCUUGGUUGCGAUUCUAGAAAUUCUUGAAGUUCAAGGUGAUUUUCAUGUGUUUUGGCAUCCGAUUCGUGGUUCUAGUGUUAUUUUGGUGUUCCGAUCACGUGAGCAAGUUCUUGUUAUGUGUUCAGACUUGCGUGGGUGUUUGGAUUGGAGCCUCGGAGGCUCGGGUGAGUUUCGGAUUAGCUUCGGAUUGUUUUGUUAACUUUUGUGUGCUAGUUAUGGUUUUCUCGCAUUUGCGAGGUUUUGGUCGCAAAUGUGACUACCGCAAUUGCGAGGUAGUCAUCGCAAUUUUGAACCUGGGCUGCUGGGGAUAGGGUCGCAUUUGCGAAGAGAGUAUCGCUUUUACGAAGCCUUCAAAGUUCGCAUUUGCGAACUCCCUAUCGCAUUUGAGAUGAAGGCAAGACCGUUCUAUAUUUCGCUUUUGCGAAGGAUUCUUCGCUUUUACGAGCUAACAUUUGCGAACCUAAUGUCACAAAUGCGACAUCUGCAGCCUGCUAAAAGCUGGGUAUUCCGAAUCUUAGUUUUAUUUUAUCAUAUUUUGAACCCUAGGUCCGAGAGUGGGCGAUUUUGAGAGGGGAUUUUCAUAUCAAAUUAUUGGGUAAGUGCCUUUAAUAAAUUUUCAACUAUAUUUUGUGAUUAUAUCUUAGAUUUAACAUCAAAUUCAUGAGAAUCUAAAGGAAAAUUUGGGAAAAAUUGUAAAAUCUUUCAAAAAAUGAAAAUGAUUAUUUGAAGGACGAAUUGGUGUCGGAACUUGAUAAUUUUUGUAUGGUUGAACUCGUAUCGGAAUAGGUGUUUAGGUUUUGUAAAUUUUGUCUGGUUCUGAUGUGUGGUCUCGGGGAGUUGACUUUUGUUGACUUUUUGCAAAUUGUACAAGGAUCAUAUAUUUGUUAAUUGAAAUUAUUUUCUCUUGCAUUGUUUGAUGUAUUUAAGUUGUCUUUGGCUAGAUUGGGCUGAGCGAUGGUGAAUUGGUAAAGGAAAAUCUAAAUUGAGUAUUGAGUUGGCCGAAUUGAGGUAAGUAUCUUGUCUAACUUUGUGUGGGGGAAACCACCCCUUAGGAAUUGAGUUAAUUAUGUUAUCUUGUUAUGUGAAAGCCGUGUACGCAAGGUGACUAGUGGGUACACAGCCUAUAUGUGGUAUUGACCGGUUUAGAUCGAAUAGCCUCUUUCCAUGCUUUUGAUUAAAUUCUCAUAACAUGUGGUAUCUCGUUGUUAGACUACUCUUACAUGCUCUAUAUGAUGUGGUUAGCCUUUAUUUACCUCUUAUUUGAUAUUUGGCCCUUAUUUGCCUUGGUUGUAGUCAUUGCCUUCAUUGUUGUCUUGUUACCUCUUAAUGGUUGAGUUCUUAUAUAAAUAUAUGCAUAUCUGUUACGUGUCCAAGUUGUUGUGAUUACCUGCGUAGUUAUCACGUGCUUACAUGUCUUUUGUGUUAUAAAGGUUGUAUUCCUUUGAUUUUUUUACGUGGUUCCCUUAUUGGUAUGUACUCAUACUCUUGGUUGUAGAAAUUCUUGUAAUGGGGUUGUUGAAUUGUUGUUGUUGAUUUAAAUUUUACGGGGGAUAGGGUUGCAUGCUGUAACAGGUAAAAUAAGGGAGGUGGUGGAAUAAGGAAGGAUAUUUAUAUUGUGAUAUUGUUAUUGUACGGUGGGAUGGGGUUGCACGCCGAAACAGGUGAAAUAAGGGUGGAUUAUUAUGGUGGAAUAAGGGUGUACUCAUACUUUUGGUUGUAGAAAUUCUUGUAAUGGAGUUGUUGAAUUGUUGUUGUUGAUUUAAAUUGUAUGGGGGAUAGGGUUGUAUGCCGUAACAGGUGAAAUAAAGGAGGUAGUGGAAUAAGGAAGGAUAUUUAUAUUGUGAUAUUAUUAUUGUAUGGUAGGAUCGGGUUGCACGUUGUAACAGGUGAAAUAAGGGUGGAUUAUUAUGGUGGAAUAAGGGUGAAUUAUGAUAUUGAUAUUAUAUGGUGAGAUCGGGUUUCAUGCCGCAACAUAUUAUGUUUACUGUUAUGAUAUUGAUAUUGUAUGGUGGGAUCGGGUUGCAUGCCGCAACAGGUGAAAUAAGGGUGAAUCAAUAUGGUGAAAUAAGGGUGACUUAUGAUAUUGAUAUUAUACGGUAGGAUCGGGUUGCGUGCCUACAACAUAUCUUGUAUUCUGGUAUCCCCUGUUUUACUGUAUUGACUUUAGUUCCUUCGUGCGAGGCUUUGAUAAUCUGUAUUUCUGGUUUUCACCGAGUUUUGAGAAUCGAGUUAUUGUCAUUGACUUAUUGCCUUGCCAUCAUUUCCUGAGCUCUUUUCCUAAUACUAUUUUUCUGGUGAAUUGAUUUUCAAAGUAAACUUACUACGUUGAGUCAUUACCUCCUGCCCUGCUGAGUUGUUAGGAAUAUAGUGAUUUAAAAUGAAAGAACUAAUAUCAUGCUACCUUGUGUGAUGUUAAGUUAGAACUCGCAGUAUAUUUCAGUAUCUACUAUUUCUAAUAGACGUUACAUUUUAUUUCAAUUGCUUUCCCCCAGCUUGAUCUACUUAACCUGUCUGAGGUUUUUAUUUUAGUUAAAAAAAGAAUUGUUAUUAUGUUUUCACUUAAUAAAUUCUAUAUUAAAUGCAAUAGCUAUUCGAUGUUGAAUUUUAUUUGAAAAUGUUAUUUUCUUCAUUCAAAUGAUUUUUACAACAAAACUCAUCUUUCUCGUUGAUUUUCUAUUUGGUUUUGUCACCACCGGCCAGUCGUUUUGAGCACUUGCACUUCACUCGCCAGUUCUCGAGCAUGACUAGCCCUGUAUGAUGUAUUAUGACUUAUGUAAACCAUCGGUUUUGGUUUUCAGGAUAAUCGGAAUAGACUUGGAAGAACAAUUCUCAGCUUGAAGCUUUAAAUUUGAAAGGUUUGACCAAGUUUUGACUUUUUAGUAUUCGAUCUCGGAUUUGGAUUUUUAUGAUUUGGUUAGCUCCGUUAGGUGAUUUUGGACUUGGGAGUGUGUCCGGAAUGUGAUUUGGAGGUCUGUGGUAGAUUUAGGCUUGAAUUGGCAAAAUUAGAAUUUUGGCAUUUUCCGGUUGGUAGUGGAAAUUUUCAUAUCGGGGUCGGAAUAGAAUUUUGGAAAUUAGAGCAGCUCUGUUAUGUCAUUUUGGAUGUGUGUACAAAAUUUCAGGUCAUUCGGAUGAAGGUUGAUAGACUUUUUGAUCGAUUACGGAAUUCGGAAGUUUUGGAAUCUUUAGGCUUGAAUCCGAGGGUGAUUUGUUGUUUUGGCAUUGUUUUGAAUGUUCCGGGGAUUGGUAAAAGUUUGAAUAGUGGUAUAUGACUUGUUCAUAUCUUUGGUUGAGGUUCCGAAGGCCUCGGGAUGGAUUCAAAAGGUUGACAGGAGUUUGGAAAUUGAAGCUGAGCAGCUUCAACUGUUGUUCCUGUCAUAACCACACCUGCGCAAUGGGGACCGCAGGUGCGGUGUCGCUGAUGCACGGAAGAGGUCGCAAAAGCGAUUUUGUUCAUUUGGAGCUGGAUCGGAGCUAUAGGGCUUCUAACGCACCUGCGGGGCACAGGUGCAAGGUUCUAACCGCAGAUGCGGAAUUGGCCCUUAAGUGAAAACCGCAGGUGCGGUUAUUUUGAUCGCAGAAGCGGUCUGCUGGUGCGGUAUUUGGUCUGCAGGUGCGGGAACACCCGGGCAGAAACUAUAUAAGCUUUCCUUCGCGAUUUUUAGCCUUGUUCCACCAUUUUUUAGACGGCUUGAGAGCUUUUUGAGAGGAUUUGAAGAGGGAUUCAAGGGAUAACGCUUGGAGGUAAGAUUUUUGAACCCAUUACUCGAUUCCAUGGCAUUAUUUUACUGGUUAUGCUUGAAAUUGAUGGAAAUUAAGGGUUAAAAUUAGAGAAUUAGGGUUUGGUAUUGGAGAUUUUCCAUUAGGGAUUUGAGAGGCCAUUUGGGGUUCGAUUUUGAUGUUCUUGGUAUGCAUAGACUCGUGGGAGAAUAAGGAUUCUAGUGAUGUAAUUUUUAUCGAAAUACGAGACAUGGGCCCGGGGUUGAGUUUGGCCAAUUUCGGGAUUUUUUAGUUAAUUUGAUUAUUUUCGCUUGGGCUUUGUUCCUUUAGCACGUAUUAAUGGUAUGAUACUAAUUUUGGUUAGAUUUGGAGCAUUUGGAGGCCGAGUCGAGAGGCAAAGGUAUCGCGGACUAGAGUUUGCACCGGAUUGAGGUAAGUAAUGAUUGUAAAUGUUGUCCUGAGGGUAUGAAACCCCGGAUUUCACAUCGUUGUGCUAAUUUGAGGUGACACACACGUUAGAUGACGAGCGUGGGGUCAUGCACCAUUGGGGAUUGUGACUUGGUCCAUCUCGUAUGAUUAUUAAGUGGAGUAUUUGAUUGAAAAUUGUUUGAUAUCAUUGUGUUUUUGAAAGUAUUAUAUGUUUUGGGCUUAAUGCCAUAUUUGGGCCUCGUGCCAACUCUUUUGGUCCCUUAGGGGCUUUUUACUACUAUUCCUCAAUGUUUUGACUUAUUAUUUGUACUCAGUCAUGCUGUAUUUUACUGAUUUCAUAACUUAGUUGUAUUUACUCCAUUUUGAUACUUUAAAUGAUAUUUGGGGCUGAGUUUCUUAUUUUUAAUGUUGCCCGAGUGGCUUGAGAGGUUUCUGACUGAGUGAGGAUGAGGGCCUGUGUUGUGAGGAUAUUAUGGGAUCGGGCUACACGCCGCAACAGGUUAUUACUAAUUCAUGAUGAUUGUGAGGUUAAUGGCCUAAUUGAUUUAUGCCACGAGGUGGCUUGUUGUUAUGUGAGGCAGAGGGCCUGAUUGAUUAUGACAUGAGAUGGCUUGUUAUAGCGCUUGGGCUGUAGGAGCCCCUCCGAAGUCUAUACACCCCUAGUGAGCUCGGGUACCCAGUGUGAGUGAUGUGAUGUAGCUCGAGGGGCGGUUCUUGAUUCAUAUUAUGCCCGAGGGGGUGAUUACGAGUGAUUGUGAGGUAGCCCGAGGGGCUGGUUCUGUUGGUAUUAUGCCCGAGGGGCGGUUUAUGGUACUUGUUUUUUGCCUGAGGGGUUGUUUACGUUCUAUCAUUUUUACUCACUAUUUUAUCACUCAUUUGAAACUAUUGAAAGAUGUUUUUUUAAAAGAAAAGGUUUUACUGAAACUGAGCUUGAUUUUGAAUGAAAUGAUUUGAUCUGUAUACUACUUUGGAAACACAUUGUACUCAUUGUGGUGUUAUGAUGUGGAUUAUGUAUUUUUUUACUGCUCAGUCUUUAUUUACUCUUAUUACUUACUGAGUUGGCGUACUCACAUUACUCCCUACAUUUUGUGUGCAGAUUCAGGUAUUUUUGAAUUCGGUGGGGGGUGUUGAUUACUUAGUGGCAGGUUCAUCGGAGAUAGCAAGUUAGAUGUCUGGCAAUCGCAGCCCUGC
This 25709-nucleotide long non-coding RNA is filed under the name Nicotiana tabacum (common tobacco). RNAcentral describes it as "long non-coding RNA (NTAB_LNC014790)". Lineage: Eukaryota; Viridiplantae; Streptophyta; Magnoliopsida; Solanales; Solanaceae. The record is from RNAcentral.